Molecule: long non-coding RNA, 750 nt
Filed under: Leguminivora glycinivorella
Lineage: Eukaryota; Metazoa; Arthropoda; Insecta; Lepidoptera; Tortricidae
Description: uncharacterized LOC125236464
Source: RNAcentral
CAGGAAAUAAAUUAAAAAAAAAAAAGCCGCGACGCCUGGAGCGUGACGGCGGACGCCAAUGCAAUGCCGCCAUCUUCUAUCGUGUCGUGCGUGCCUGUGUGAACUUGAAAAUAAAUCCGCUAGCUGAAGCUAGCUGACCGGAUCGGAAAAAUGGUUCAGGGUUCUUUUUGUUGCCCCAUGCCCCAUCAUCUGCCGCCAUCCUGGACAAGUCGGCGAUCAACAACAGGACAGGACCCGGCCUGCGAGCAAUGGCCAGUGAAGUCUAUCCCAGUGCCACGUCAUCAAGUCAUCACGCAUUCGUCGUCGGACUCGUCGGGUGCAAAUGACGCGGCGGAUCUUUCUCAAGCUUAGAAAGAUGGUUGUGGCCCAGCGCCCCGCUACUUCGUGCCAGGCCAUUCUCCAACUGCAGAUCCAUGUGUCAACGCGACAGUGCACUCACCUUGUUUGGCCCGAUGGAAUUUGGUAUGUCACCUGAGGCGAGGAGUAGGUGCGUGUGCGAACGGCCUUAGUGACGCAUCUUCAGCGCGACGGGUGUAUUCUCAAAUAUGAGAAGGAGCUCGGGUCCUGCGGGCUCUUAACCGUCGUAGUAUUCACACAGUGUUUUAAAAUAGUGUUUGUGUGUAUUAUGAUAACAUAUGUUCAAUUCAAAUGUCUAACACUACAUAAGUAUACAUAUCAUUUUUCAUUAGUAUGGUGCUGUUUUUGCGGUCUGAAGAAAAAACUUCAAAUAAAAUAAUUAUGUUGUCUGUA